This 7952-nucleotide long non-coding RNA is filed under the name Homo sapiens (human). Its description in RNAcentral is "non-protein coding lnc-ZIC1-21:1". The record is from RNAcentral. Lineage: Eukaryota; Metazoa; Chordata; Mammalia; Primates; Hominidae.
ACCCAUAUGAUCCAGCUAUCUCACUACUAGAAAUAUACCCGAAAGAAAGGAAAUUAGUAUAUUGAAGCAAUAUCGGCACUUCCACAUUUAUUGCAGCAGUAUUCACAAUAGCCAAGAUUUGGAAGUAACGUUAAGUGUCCAUCAGCAGAUGAAUGGAUAAAGAAACUGUGGUACAUAUACACAAUAAAAUACUAUUCAGCCAUAAAAAAAGAGCGAGAUCCUGUCAUUAGCAACAAUAUAGAUGGAAGUGUAGGUGCUUAUGUUAACUGAAAUAAGCCUGACACAAAAAAACAAAGUUCACAUAUUCUCAUUUAUUUUGUAGGAGCUAAACAUUAAAACAAUUGAAUUCAUAGACAUAGGGAGUAGAAUCAUGGUUACCAGAAGCUGGGAAGGGUUAUGGGGGUUCAGGGAGAUUAGUCAAUGGGAACAAAAAUAUAGAUAGAUACAAUAAAUAAGAUCCAGUGUUUUAUAGCACAACAGCAUGACUAUAGUCAACAAGAAUUUACACAAAUCUGUGCACUUUAAAAUAACUAAGAGUAUAAUUGGAUUGUUUGUAACACAAAUAAAGGAUAAAUGUUCAAGGUGAUAGAUACUCCAUUUAUCCUGAUGUGAUUAUUACGCAUUGUAUGUCUGUAUCAAAAAACCUCACAUACCUCAUAAAUAUAUACAUCUAUUAUGUACCCACAAAAAUUAAAACAAUAGCAACAAUAAAAAACAAAGAUGAAAUAAAGAUGGUUUUGGAUGAAUGAAAACUAAUAGAAUUCAUCAACAGCAAAUCUACUAUGAAAUAAAAUGCAUAAUUUUUUCAGGUGGAAGGGAAAAGGUACUAGAGGGAAACCUGAAAGAAGAGCAACACAAAUGGUAACAUCCACAUGAAUAUUAUAGACUGUUUUAUGCCCAAGUUUUAAAAAGAUGUAUAAUUGUUAAAAGCAAAAAUUAUAACAUUUUGGAUGGUUGUUUAAUAUACAGAGUUAAUAAGUAUUACAAUUAAAACAUGAAGGGGAAUAUUAAUUCUAAGUAAACUGUGAAAAGUUAAGUAUAUAUAUAGAGAGAGAGAGAGGGAAAGAGAGAGAGAGUAAUCUCUAGAGUAGCCACUGGGAAGAUAUUCAAAAAUGUAAUAGAUAAAAUGGAAUUCUUAAAACAUUCGAAUAAUCCAAAAAGGCACAAACAGUGGAAUUAAAACAGAAGCUACUUACCAUAGGAUAGUAUAUCAUUCUUAGCUAUCUAUUUUAGAGUAAUGAAAAUCUAUAGUCACAAUAAACAUGUACAUGAAUGUUUCUAAAAAUUUUGUUUGUAGUAAUUACUCAAAACUGGAAACAACUCAAAUGUCCUUUGGUAGGUAAAUGGGUUAAAUCUGUAAUUUAUCCAUGUAAUGGAUUACUACUCUGCAAUAAAAAGGAAAAAUUUAUCGAUGCAAUAGCACUGUUGAUUCCCAAAGGUAUUAUACUGAGUGAAAGAAGCAUUUUCAAAAGGUUACAUACUGUAUGAUUCCAUUUAUAUGCCAAUCUAGAAAAGGCAAAACUAUAUAGAAGAUCAGUUUAGUUGGUGUUAUGAGGAAGGGGAAGUUUUAACUACAAAGGGGCAACAAAAAAAAUUGUUUGGUGUGAUUUGGCUGUUUAUAUUCUGAUUAUAGUGAUUGUUACACAAAUCUACCUUUAUGUUAAAACUGUACACCAAAAAAAAAAAAGUUUUGUUGAGAAAAAAACUUAAUUGCCCAAGAUUAUGUGAGUUUUAUGUCAGAAGAAAAGGUAAAUAGUCUUCUGACUGGGCCCUCAAGCAUUUCUUGAAAGAAAUGAAUUGCUAAAGGAAAAAUCAUUUUACUGGUAGAUGUUACAAUGGUAAUUUGGUAAUACAUUAACACAUUAUUUUUUAUUUUUUAUUUUUUUAUUUUUUUUGGAACAGAGUCUUGCUCUGUCGCCAGGCUGGAGUACAGUGGUACCAUCUCGGCAAACUGCAACCUCUGCCUCCCGGGUUCAAGCAAAUCUCCUGCCUCAGCUUCCUGAGUAGCUGGGACUACAGGCGUGCACCACCAUGCCCAGCUAAUUUUCGUAUUUUUAGUAGAGACAGAGUUUCACCAUGUUGGCCAGAAUGGUCUUGAUCUCUUGACCUCAUGAUCCACCCACUCAGCCUCCCAAAAUGUUGGGAUUACAGGCAUAAGCCACCGCACCCGGACAACACAUUAAUUUUUAAAUUGAAAUCACAAAUUUUAAUGUAUUUAAAUAACAAUUUAUAUCCUCCAAAAACACUCCGAGGUUCAAUAUUUUCUGCCAUAUGACUUUACAGUUUCUCCUAGUAAAAGUUCCAAGAGUAUUUCUCCAUCACUCAAUUUGGGUUCAGCUAUAUAACUUGUUUUAGCAAAAGAAUAAAGUAGAAGUGAUCAUGUGCCAGUUUCAAGCCUAGACCUUAAGAGGCCUUGUAUGUUUCUAUUUGCCCCCUUUUACCUCUGAGGUUGUCAUGAGGAAAACAUUGCUGGGGUUAGCCCACUUGCCCUGGGAGGGAGAUGAGAGAUGUGUAAUGGAGAAAAUCUCGCUAAACUAAACCUAACUAACCCACAGAUCAGUAAGAUUAAUUAUCAGCAUGUUAAAGCACUGUGUUUGGAGGUGGUUUGUUAUGUAAUCUUUUGCGUGUCAAAGGCUAAUGGAAAUCUUCAUAAAGCAAAAACUGACCUUUUUAAAUCCCUAAUAGGACUUCAGUCUUAUGGUAACAGCUAUGAGAAUCAAGAUAUCUAGGAAAGUGUUCCAACAAAAGGAACAAAACAAAUCCAGUUCUAGUAAGUGGAAUACACAGUUUAUCCAUUGGCUCAAAAUAGAUGUUAACAGAUUUGAAAGAAAAAGUCAAAGCAAGGCAGGCAUCGGUGUUAACUUGUUACUUGACCUACUGGAGGCCCUUAAGCACAGAUAAGAUUAGAACUCAGAGUUGAAAGCAAGACUGAAUCUCUUGGUGAAGUUCUAAUGUAUACAUAGAAUAGAUGAGGGUUAACUAAGAGGAAUGCCUUUAUGAAAAUAUAAGGAGGCCUCAAAUACAUAACCCAUUGUGUUUCUUUUGAGCUGGCAUCAAAAGAGCUUAAUGAUAGUUUUUUGUGUGUGUGUGCAAUUACAAUAAGCCUCUCAACUGCUUUGUCUCAGUGUUUUCUGACCUUUCUUGUCUUCGUUUUAAUAGUAUUUACAUUAUUCCUUUGGACUAUCUCUAAUUCAUUUUGAGUGUGACAGAUAGUAUAAAUAUCAAUGUAUGAUACUUUAGCCUAUGAACCAGUGCCUUUAGAAUUGUAUAUCAUCUCACCAACAAUGUAUGCAAUAUUUCAAGAAUAAUGGGGGAUACCAUGAAGGUUGCUACUUGCCUUUUAUGCAAAUGGCUAAUAACACUGAUUUUUAUAAAAUUCUAUUCACUAUGCUGAAAUACUCAGGCAAUCUUAAAAACUUUGGGGGAAAAAUGCCUUUGCCAAAUGAUCCAGGGUCACAAAUUUAAAUCAUUGCAGUUGUUCCGGGUAACUCUUAUUCAAUACUGUGAUUAAUUUCAGAUGAGAGAGACUGAAAGUUUUCUGUCAGGCUUUAUGAAACAACACUCCUUUUAACAGCUGAAAGAUAUCUAAAGUCAAAGGAAUAAAAAGUAGUUUAUUUUGGUUAUGUCUUAAAACCCAAUGUUUUAAAUAAAAAGAGAAGCAAUGAGCAUAGCAUUAAAAUUUGUUUUACUUGGAAAGUCCUUAAAUUUGGAAAACCAAUUUUGGAUCCCAUGCUUAUGAGCUAUGUCAUUUGCUAUCAAUGAUGAUACAAGUUCACAAUGUGAUCUUAAAAUACUUUUAUUUAUGAUACAUAUUAACCAAAUUAUAUUAUGCAUAAACCCAACAAUAUAAGAAAUAUUAACACUGUUAAUCUUUUUCAAAAUCCUUUUCAAACUUUUCUAAACAUUUUGUGGACAUAAACAGUAACGUAAGAGUUCUAACUUCAUUGCAAUCUUAAAGAAUUGCAUUUGAAAAUUCUGGGACUACUAUUAUCAGAAAAUUAAACUAGAACAGAUCAAAAGCCUGAUAUUUACAUUCAAACAACAACAAAAUAUUGUAUUUACCUACAAAUUGAGAGAAACCACAUUUAAGGAUAGAACUCACUUAGAUGCAUAUUAGGGUCAUUGAAGUACUUUUAAAAAUCACUGUACCUGGGCCUUAUCCCCAGAGAUUCUGAUUUAAUUGAUCAAGGGUAAAACAGGAUAUCGCUAUAUUUUUUCAAAGCUCUCCCAAGUGAUUUUAAUGUCCAGCCUGGCUUGAAAAUCAUUGAUCUUUUAAAUCAACGUGGUAUGACCGCGGUAAAAAUACAUAAAAUCUUGGGCUUCAUUUCUAGAAUACAAUGACGAGAUCAAAGGAGGCUAUCAGAACCACUAUUAUAGCCAGGUUGUUCGAUCUGCUAUCCAGGUGACACAUUGUGAAAGGUGAUGUUGACAAAGGAGAGAAACAGGUGUCACCGAGGACAGGAUGAUGAUAUGGUUUUCAAAACUUGAAAUCUUUUCUUGAAGAGCAGAUUUAGGAAAAUUACAAUCCAUCUGCAUUGCUAACACAGGGAAAAGACAAUCAACAUAGUCUGUGUUCCUCCAGGAGGCAGAGCCAGAACCAAUGGAUAGAAGUUAGGAUGGCAACUUUAUCAGCUCAAUAAAAGUAAGAGCAUUUUGAUAAGAGCUUUUCAGCCACAGAUGAACAAUCUGUAAAAUACUGAAGCACAGGCCAGGUGAUCUGUCAUGAGUAUGGGAAAGAGGUUGAACUAUAGAUAUUUUCUUCCCCAUUGUACAAAUAACCUGAAAGAACACCUUGAGGCUUCAUGAAAUUUCUCAAAUCACGUCCUAGUGGUUUAGAGGCUAAAACAGAGUGACUGAGGGGACUCAGACUAUUGGGUAGAACCAAGCAUGAGCUGCUUGUUCUUUGUGUGACCUCGGGAAGUCUACCAUGCCCUCCUUAGCACUAGCCAAGUCUCUGGGUAUAGCAUACCCUCAAAGAGAAGUUGGUUUUUCUUUUUGUCUUUCCAGAUAGAAAUUUUAGUUAUAGAUUUCACUUAGAUUGCUAUUUAAUGAUUGAUCAGACAUUUUCCACUUAAGAUAGCUCCAUUAAUAUACUACAGUAAACUCAAUAUAGAAGUGUUAUGUAGUGGUAGCACUAUAACCUUUAAGUGCUAAGCUAGAUCAGAUUCUCCCAACCUGUGCUGCACAUUAGAAGCACUUGGAGAACUUUUAAAAUAACUGAUGGCCUGGCUUCACCCCAGAGAAUGGAAUUUAAUAGGUCUAGGUAGGGUCACAACAUUAAAUGCUUUUAAUAGUUCCCAGAUGAUUUUAAUAGGAGGCUAAGGCUGACAACCACUAAAAAUCUCUAAGGUCAUUCUCUAAAACUUCAGAAUUCAAUGCUUUAUUUUCAUUUAAUUGCAAAUAAGUAUAUUGUUUGUUGAAAAACAGAACAAGUUAAAAAAAAAAAAAAACCUGUAGCCAUGAUCAGACUUUCGAUUAUAAAUUUAUACAGAACACAGCAAGCCAUUCAAAUUUUGGUUCGUCUUUCUGAACAGUUUUGUAAAUUACCAAGACUCAGUUGUCGAAAGCUAGCUCAUCAUUUUGGGUGGCACGAGCCCAAGAGGAGAAUAACUUAAUUAUGUUGAGUGAUAGAAUUAGCUUUCACAAAGAUUGAAACAGGCUAAAAUUAUAAUUUAAAACCAAUAAAAUUUAAUUUAAUAGCAUUCUAUACUUGGCUCAAGAAAAAUGUGAAAGUAAACUGAAUCAUGGCUUAACAGUGUUGUUAUGAGAAGGAAAACAAAAUUUUUCCUGACUGCAAAUUAUCAGCAGUACAAUACAGUUGCCCAUCCCUCACCAAAAGUAAUUUGAUACUUAAUUUUAUUAGCAAAAAAUACAAAAUAUGAAUGAGUCUUCUCUUUGCUUCUAUACCACUUAUACCUAGUACUACCUAGCAUAUUAAGUUCAGAUCUGGCCACCACCCUUCCACAGCUAUGUUGAUAAACCAUUCCAAAUGUAGAGGAGAGUGAUACUGAUACUAGGACUUUGUAAAAUCAGCAAGCCAGUCAGCUGGGAGGAGCAGUGAGGGUGGUCAGACAAAGACUAGUGAAGAAUCUGGUAUUUUUAAAUGUGGAAAAGGUAAUAAGGUGAGGCAUAGAGGGGUGGUAGGUGGGAGGCAACUGUUGUGAUUACGGCUGUUAAAUAUUUUAUAAACCCAUAUUAAAAGGUAUUAGGUUUUUCAUAUAAUUUCCAAGUGUACCCACAUAAACUUUACAAAGAAGUUACAAAAGACAGUCUUCAUUACAGUUAUGAGAAAAGCUUUGCUGUUUCUGUGUUAGAAUGCAGUAAAUUGCCUGUCACCAGAUUGUAAUGCAGGGUUGAUAUCUAAAUCAUGUUUGUAAUUUCAGGUACAUGGGCUUGUAACAGAUACUCAUGAACAUUCACUAAAUGAAGUUUUCAAGUAAACCUGGGUGAUCAACAACCAGGAAAGCCUGAAAGAUGAUUUGUUUAGGGUAGAGGUAGGACAGACUUUGGACUAUAUAGCUUUUAACACUACUUCCAGUCCUCAGAUUCUAUUGUUCGAUGACACAAAUUAAAUCACAAAAUCCUAAGAUAACUCUAGAUUUUUAUUAUUUGUAAAUCAACAUAAACCUAAAUUCAUCUUCUCCUAAUAAAGUGUAUAUCUUUUUCUCACACAUGUGAUUGUUGUUUUAGUCAGGUUAAAAUAAGCGGUCUUGCAAGCCUUGAAACUUCAGUGGCUUAACAUAGAAAACUUCAUUUCUCUCUCGUAUAAAUCUGUUGUGGUCCUAGCAGCUAUUAAGGACAACUUACUUCCAAAUAGUGAUUCAGAGAUCCAGGCAUCUCAAUACAUAUGCUUCAAGGUCUCUAAAACGGGCUCAUAAAUGUGUGGCUUUGCAAGUAAUCCACAUAACUUCCAUUCAUUGGCCACUGGCCAAAAGCAGUUCCAUAAUCCCACCUAACUAUUGGUAGGUAGGAAAUCUGGGAAGCCCACGUAUAUUCAGCUAGCUAUACAUGUAACUGUCAACAAAAGUAAACCCUCAAUGAAGAUUAAGAUUCAGGGCUACAAGCAUCUGAGAGAGGACACUAAUUAAUUAUGUAAUACAGACAAGUACAUGUUCUGUAAUUCUUGUUCUGUCUUCAUUUUAGAACUUAAAAAAAUAAUGUAACAUUGGAUUAAAAAUUUGCAAGAAAAUCUAUUGGAGGAUGAAACUGUCUAGAAUACAGUGUAGAUGAUAUUCUGUCCAAAAAUAAUAGAUUAGAAAAUUUAAUGUCAAAACAAAUGUCCCAAAUUAGAUGAAACCCCUCUAAUCAAUGGCAAGUUAGAUGGCAAGUUAGAUGUGUUUAUGUUCAUUCUCCACAUACCUACUUGAAAUAUAAUUAAUCAUAACUCCUGAAUCUCAUUGCUCCCUCUUAAUUCUUAUUACUUUAUGCACUUAAAUUUGCUCUUUGGUACCUUUUAAAUAUCUCAGAUUGGGCAAUUCACUUACCAAUUUUAAAAAUAGCUCCUCUAUAUUGAUUAAAAAAUAGGACUUCACAAGAACCUCAAGAGAGGUUCUAAGUUCUAUUUUUUCUGACAUCAUCACAGUUAUAACUUUCCUAAAUAAUUCAUAUUUUGAACAGAGUCCUACAGGUCCAUAAUUCUGAAAUUAUAAAGUUUUCAUUCCAUUAUUUAUCACAUUUUUAAGACCAGACUGAAUAGAUGUUAAAAUGACAUUUGGUCAAAACCAAGAAAGGCCACACCCAAUGGGCAAUCGAAUCUGUAACUGGGGUAACAACACUAGUUCCAGAGUCAGUACAUAUCAAAGCUACACUUUCCUUGGCAUUUGAAAAUCCACUGUCUUCACAUAUUUCUAUUUUAGAACUAUUUUCUAGUUUAAACUUAGAGGAUAAGAUAUAGAAUUUGUAGUCACUAUAUAAAAUAACACUUUUUAAAGCACCUUUUAGAAAACUGCUUU